RNAcentral lists this long non-coding RNA (1663 nucleotides) under Homo sapiens (human). Its description in RNAcentral is "HSALNT0198568". Lineage: Eukaryota; Metazoa; Chordata; Mammalia; Primates; Hominidae. The record is from RNAcentral.
CCUGAUGGCUCAUGCAGAGGAGUUCUCAGCUAACUAACGUGGGGACUUCAUGAUGGAAAUUCGGCCAGGAGAGAGCCUGGUGCACCUUUGACUCAGUUCAGCCAAGGUGAUUGUUUUGUAAGGAGUACAGUCUGGGUCAAAGUGACAGAAGACGUGGGGUUGAUAACAAAUUCCUCAUGUAGAUUAAUGCAUGGGCCCUCAUCCAUGGUUUUCUGAAAAGCACCAGGCAGCCUGCUGUAGACCACCGGGUGAAGAGUGUGCUGGCCAGUGGAGGAUCCCAGACCCCAGCGGCUAAAUGGACGACCUCAAUGACCCAUCCCCAUGUUCCCUGGGGGACAGGCAGAUAGCCCCACUGGGACCAAAAUGAGAGGAGAGGCUGUCUUCCAGAUUACGUUAGCAAUUAAUAAAAAUUAGAAACAACCUAAUUGUCUAAAAGCCGAGAACAGUUAAAUUGCAGAAAUACAUACUGUGUAGCUAUUUUAAAAAAUGAACUGGUUACGUAGGAAGGAUGUGUAUUUUUUUGAGUCUUUUAAAAAGGCAAGUUGCAUGACAAUAUGUAUGAUAUAAACCCAUUAAAAACUCUAUAGGAAUAUUUAUUAUGUAUUUGUAUAUAUAUGGAGAGAAGUAGGACAGAAGGAUGCUUAACAACCGAAAAAAAAAGACUGAUCUGGAAGCUUUCCCUAACCUCACCAGGGUAAGGUGCCUCUUUCCUCUGUUUUUUGAAUGCUCUAUCAUACACUUAACCUUGCUACACCAUCACACCUACAGGACAGCCCUAUAAAUUGGUUUGUGUUGCCACUUUGCACAUUAGACCCUGAGCUCUUUGAAGGCAGGAGCCAUGUCCUAUUCAUCUUUGUAUCACUUCUAUCUAGCUCAGUGCUGGGGACCAAAUAGGGAGUGAACAGAGCAUAAGUCCAGGAGGUGAGAUACACAAUUCAUUACCGUAAGAUGCAGCUCACACACCACAAUCAUCUUGUCACUUGGAAAUGUUUAGGUGUGAAAGGAAAAUAAAAUCUCAGGACCCAAAACUCACUAUGCCAAAGGGAAAAGUGAAGAUUGGCAACUGAAUCAUAUAAAACUGCCUUCCUUUUGUUCCUAAACAGAGAGCGGUAAUCAUAGAAGACCACCUAUCUACUCAGGUGGGCUCCCUCACAAAUUGCUCACAAGAAUUCCCUGUGGGCUUGCAAAUCUUUCAGAAUACAUACCCCUCCCAUGAACCAACCCCAAACAGGGUUCUGUUGAAUAUCAUCCUGACAGUGUAAAUUAACAGCUUAUCUUUACAUGUACAGGACAAAGACAAGACUAGAAAUCAACUCUCUGCCCGCCAAAAGCAUAUUUGACUUCUUCCUCUACUCUGUGUUUACUUUAUCCUAUGUAAAGUGCAGAUUUACCUAGCUUGGGAUGAAUGCAUUAUUGACAGUUCCUCUACUCCCUCUUUUCACAUGUAAAAUGUGGAUUCAGUGAGCCCCAUCAAAGCCCCACAAGAAUGUAACUUUUGCUUCAUUAUCUAAUCUUUCCUCUUUUUUUCCUUUCCUCCUUCCCCUCCUACCCACUCUUUCCCCUUUAAAUGGUGAAGUCCUCACAACCCUCUUUGGAAAAAACACAGGCCACAGAUCCUAUUGUAACUUGUGUCUCUUUUUCCUGGGCAUGUGUUCAAUCUUGG